GAAAAUUCUUUUGAAAUAGUUGAAAUUUCAUAUGGAAUGAUGGAGAGUUUUAAAGCUACAAAUGCUUGUAUACACUUUGCUUUAAGUGUUAAAGCAAAUGGUAAAGCAAAGUUAAGAAAUAGUUUAAAUUGGCUUCGUGUAUUGGGAUUUACAAAUGUACCUUUAAAUGAAUCACUAUUUAAGAUUUAGGAAUACUUUAUUUUGCUGGUGGCUCAGGAUGAAAUUUUAGUUUUCCCCAUGGUAUUCAUUUUAUAUUGAAGUUGGUAUUUGGUUGAGAUUCCUCUAAGAAAACUGUAGAAUCUCAUUCUGUGAGCUAUUUUGAGUUCUGUGUGCAGGCUUGGUCUGUUUGGUUUAUGGGGCUGUAACACAGGAAUUAACAUUGACAACAGAGUUAGAUCUUGGGAUUUGUCCAAUAUUAUCUCUAAGUGCUAGAAAUUAAAAAUAUUUCCCUUUAGGGUGGUAAGUGAGUGUGUAAGUUUGGGGCACAGUGAGAAAAAAAGAGGCCAAAAAGCAUGUCAGGUGUCAUUGCUUGUUAUUAGCCCAGAGAAUGAUGUUUGGUUGUCAUUAGGGACAGAGGGUUGCUUUUUGUUCUUUGUUUUUUGUUUUUGUUUUUGUUUUUUUUUUUGGAUGGAGGAGAAGUAUGAAUUUUUAGGAUGAAUUGCAGCUGGGAACCAGUGAUUGAAUAUUGCAGCCCACCAUUUUAGGCCUGGGUGAACCACUUUCCCCAUGGGAUUAUAAGUGGCAAGAUCAGGCAGGGGGGAUAUUGAGGAAAGACCUUUUUGUUUCCUAUUCUGGUGAUUUCCCUGAGGUUUCUGCUGGUUGUCUGGUAAGUAUGAUUUGCUUUGCCAGUGAGAAAAGCCCUGUGUUUUCUUUUGAAGGGGGACGUGUCUGAUCUUUGGAUUUAAAUUGAAUCAAACUCUGGACUACUUGGCUUUCACAAGCAGUAAAUUGCAACUUCAGGUAAUAGUAGAGCAGGAAAUAAAAGAUAGAUUUAUGGGUAAUCUAGGAGAUCACAGUGUUCUAGGAGAUCACAGUGAAGUUACAUUUGAGGAUUUGAGCAGUUUUUUUUCUCUCCACAAUGGAAGUGAAGUAAAAUGAGUACCAUUGUCAUUGACAGGAGCAACUUGGUCUGUUAGGUCCCUUAGCCAGGCAAAUAUAGCAAGCCUACUUUGACUUCUUUUUGUUUGAGGUGUUUUUUUAAUGUUUAUUUAUUUCGAGAGAAAGAGUGUGAGUGGGGGAGGGGGAGAGAUAGAGAGAGAGAAAGAGAGAGAGAGAGAGAGAGAGAGAGAAUCCUAAGCAGGCUCUGCAUUGUCAGUCCAGAUCGUGACAUGGAGCUUGAUGUGGAUCUUGAUCUCAUGAACUGCGAGAUCAUGACCUGAACCGAAAUCUAGAAUCAGACACUUAACUGAAUGAGCUACCCAGCCACCCCUUGUUUGAGUUUUUUUAAACAGAGAACCAUUGAACCAUCACAUUGUUUCGAAUUAAAAGGCUAAAGAUACAGAAGUUCUAUCACUGAGGAAGGAGCAAUGCCUCAUUUCUUUCCUAACCCUGACUACCUCAUAUCCCUCUUCAAAAACCUUCUACUCACCAUUGCUUCCCUAUCACAUCCCAGUGCCUGUGCUGAGUGAGAUAUAUUGGUUUACUCAGCUUUGGGGGCAACAGGAACCUAUUAUAAUGAUGGCUAUGAAGGUAAAUCAGGAAGAUUAUUUGCCCAGAGCCACACAUUGAGGAAGGUCCCCAAAUUUAAAAUUUCAUGUGGCAAUAUAUUUUGCAUGUGUGUUGAAGAUAUUUAUUAGGUAGCUCUAAACAUUGAAAAGCAACCAUGGUUUCUGUAACCCUGUUUUGGCAUUUUCUUUCUUUCUUUCUUUUCUUUCUUUCUUUCUUUAAUUUUUUUUUCUUAGUGUUUAUUUUCGAGACAGAGAGAGAUAGAGCAUGAGUGGCAGAGGGGCAGAGAGAGAGGGAGACACAGAAUCUGAAGCAGGCUCCAGGCUGUGAGCUGUCAGCACAGAGCCUGACAUGGGGCUUGAACUCACGAACUGUGAGAUCAUGACCUGAGCCGAAGAUGGAUGCUUAACCAACUGAGCCACCCAGACAUGGGGAGUUUCAGAGGUCAUGCCCUCCCUGGAACCUUCUUCAUUACCAUGGGUAUUUGGUGGACCAUAAAGUGCACUCUGAAGUAUGCCUGCAAAAAGCACAAACGGACUUCCUACCUUGGUUCCAAAGCAUUAUUCCAUCGAAUAGAUAUUGUGGAGGGAAUUACAAUAAUUUGCAUGGCUUUAACUGGCAUGCUUGGAGAGCAGUUUGUGACUGAAGGGCCCCACUUGGCUUUAUAUAACUAUAAAGAGGGCCAGUGGGUCCAACUCCUGAGCUGGCAUCAUUCCACCAUGUAUUUCUUCUUCGGGCUGGUGGGCGUGGCAAACAUCUUAAGGUUUAUCAUCAAUUCGUUUCCCAUUUCCUUAAUCAAAUUGCUGUUGUCGAAUGCCUUAUUUGUUGAGGCUUUUAUCUUGUACAACCACACUCAUGGCCGGGAAAUGCUGGACAUCUUUGUGCACCAGCUGCUGGUCUUGGCUGUCUUUGUGGCAGCCCUGAUAGGCUUCUUGGAGUUCUUUGUAAGGAACAAUGUCAUUGUGGAGCUUCUUCAGAUGACCUUUAUCCUGCUUCAGGGAAGCUGGUUCUGGCAGAUUGGUUUUGUCCUUUAUCCCCCUAGUGGAGGUCCUGCAUGGGAUUCAAUGGAUCAUGACAACAUUAUGUUUCUCAGCAUAUGCUUUUGUUGGCAUUACACAUUACACAUUGUCAUUGUUGGAGUGAUUUAUGCCUUUGUUACUUGGCUGACAUCUGGGCCUCAUCCCCUUAGGGGCUGGGCAGCCUCCAAGAAUAAAGGCGACAUUCAAGGAGCCUCUCUAGCUCAUGUCAGCUCUCUUCCAUGGCCAAAAGAAGACUACUGUCUCUUCCUGUUUCAAAAGGCUUCAGACCCCUCUUAUCCACUUACAACUUUCUAGAAACCAGAAACUCCAUGUUUAUUUUCUCAACACUCCCCACCUCCAGACACCUUUAUCUUUUGUGACCACUUAGUCCCCUCUACCUGGCAUAUCCAAAUCAAACGCCAUGUCUUCUAUGAAAACUUCUGUGAUAAUUCUAGCCCUCAUUUCCCUUCAUGAGUUUGGAUAGUACUUGAGUCGCUACUACUCAUUUUAACAAUUGUGAUCUAUCUUUACUAUUAGCCAGUCUUAUCUGCUAGCUAGGUUGUAUCACUUUAAGGAAAAGACCCUUUUCAUAUUUCACAUGGCUGUUGGCAUGCUAUCAAACAUGCAGUAGGUAUUCAUUAAACACUUAUUUGCACUUUUAAUAGAUCUACUCAGUUACAUGAGUAUGGGCUUUAUUUGUUUGGAAAUCAUGUUUCAGAUGCUUUUCAGUUUUGCUCUCAUAUUGCUUUGGAAAUAUAAGACCAAGAGCUCAUGUUAUGAGGUUGGUUAAAUCUCGACUUAAGAGGUUCUGCUCCUCAGAAGUUGGACUCCUGAAAAAUACUGAACGAGAACAAGAAUCAGAAGAAGAG
This is an RNA transcript of Panthera uncia (snow leopard), 3553 nucleotides long. It is a transcript of the gene named transmembrane protein 45A, with no coding region annotated. NCBI's taxonomy places the organism in Eukaryota, Metazoa, Chordata, Mammalia, Carnivora, Felidae. The record is from RefSeq and is a predicted model, not a curated record. The transcript has 7 exons.